This 76-nucleotide transfer RNA is filed under the name Betaproteobacteria bacterium. RNAcentral's name for it is "tRNA-Arg". It matches the Rfam family "tRNA". From Rfam's summary of the family: Transfer RNA (tRNA) molecules are approximately 80 nucleotides in length. Their secondary structure includes four short double-helical elements and three loops (D, anti-codon, and T loops). RNAcentral also lists the same sequence under 1 other name. The record is from RNAcentral. Lineage: Bacteria; Pseudomonadati; Pseudomonadota; Betaproteobacteria.
GCCCCCGUAGCUCAGUGGAUAGAGCACAUUCCUCCUAAGAAUGGGGUCACACGUUCGAUUCGUGUCGGGGGCGCCA